GUCUACAGCUAUACCACCCUGAAUACACCUGAGCUCGUCUGAUCUCAGAAGCUAAGCAGGGUCGGGCCUGGUUAGUAGUUGGAUGGGAGACCACUGAGAAUACCGGGUGCUGUAGGCU
Ribosomal RNA from Sapajus apella (tufted capuchin), 118 nucleotides. The record is from RefSeq and is a predicted model, not a curated record. NCBI's taxonomy places the organism in Eukaryota, Metazoa, Chordata, Mammalia, Primates, Cebidae.